RNAcentral lists this long non-coding RNA (320 nucleotides) under Nicotiana benthamiana. RNAcentral's name for it is "long non-coding RNA (NBEN_LNC015103)". The record is from RNAcentral. Lineage: Eukaryota; Viridiplantae; Streptophyta; Magnoliopsida; Solanales; Solanaceae.
CCCCCUUGUAAGCCUUGCCUUGGGACCCUUGAGCUCCCUCUAAACUUGGACACUUGAGGGCUAGCCCUUCCACACUGCACUUGUCCUAAUCUGAUAAUGUAUUUGGGUGUGAGCAUUGACUGGAGUCCCAUUUGAGGCUUUUAGAGAAUUUUGACACAUCCAAAUAGAAGAAAGACUUUGGAUCAUGAUAUCAUGGAGUUGGUUUACCUCAUAUUCCAGAUAUGAAGUCUGAAUCAGGCUAUCCUUGGUUGUACUUUUAAUUUCUGAUCUAUUCUUUUAUUUUAUUCUAGGCUGUAAUAAUUUGUAAUAAACUCUUGAGG